AGUGAACGCUGGCGGUAGGCCUAACACAUGCAAGUCGAACGGCAGCACAGUAAGAGCUUGCUCUUACGGGUGGCGAGUGGCGGACGGGUGAGGAAUACAUCGGAAUCUACUUUUUCGUGGGGGAUAACGUAGGGAAACUUACGCUAAUACCGCAUACGACCUACGGGUGAAAGUAGGGGAUCUUCGGACCUUGCGCGAUUGAAUGAGCCGAUGUCGGAUUAGCUAGUUGGCGGGGUAAAGGCCCACCAAGGCGACGAUCCGUAGCUGGUCUGAGAGGAUGAUCAGCCACACUGGAACUGAGACACGGUCCAGACUCCUACGGGAGGCAGCAGUGGGGAAUAUUGGACAAUGGGCGAAAGCCUGAUCCAGCCAUACCGCGUGGGUGAAGAAGGCCUUCGGGUUGUAAAGCCCUUUUGUUGGGAAAGAAAAGCAGCAGGUUAAUACCCCGCUGUUCUGACGGUACCCAAAGAAUAAGCACCGGCUAACUUCGUG
Molecule: ribosomal RNA, 492 nt
Filed under: uncultured bacterium
Lineage: Bacteria
Description: partial 16S ribosomal RNA
Rfam family: Bacterial small subunit ribosomal RNA
Source: RNAcentral